This 301-nucleotide ribosomal RNA is filed under the name uncultured bacterium. RNAcentral's name for it is "partial 16S ribosomal RNA". It matches the Rfam family "Bacterial small subunit ribosomal RNA", at positions 509 to 807 of the family's 1533-position model. The record is from RNAcentral.
CAGUAGCCGCGGUAAUACGAAGGGUGCAAGCGUUAAUCGGAAUUACUGGGCGUAAAGCGUGCGUAGGUGGUGGUUUAAGUCCGUUGUGAAAGCCCUGGGCUCAACCUGGGAAUUGCAGUGGAUACUGGGUCACUAGAGUGUGGUAGAGGAUAGUGGAAUUUCCGGUGUAGCAGUGAAAUGCGUAGAGAUCGGAAGGAACAUCUGUGGCGAAGGCGACUAUCUGGGCCAACACUGACACUGAGGCACGAAAGCGUGGGGAGCAAACAGGAUUAGAUACCCCAGUAGUCCCUGUCUCUUAUAC